UAUGAGAGUUUGAUCCUGGCUCAGGACGAACGCUGGCGGCGUGCCUAAUACAUGCAAGUCGAACGCUUUUUCUUUCACCGGAGCUUGCUCCACCGAAAGAAAAAGAGUGGCGAACGGGUGAGUAACACGUGGGUAACCUGCCCAUCAGAAGGGGAUAACACUUGGAAACAGGUGCUAAUACCGUAUAACACUAUUUUCCGCAUGGAAGA
This 209-nucleotide ribosomal RNA is filed under the name Enterococcus gallinarum. Its description in RNAcentral is "partial 16S ribosomal RNA". It matches the Rfam family "Bacterial small subunit ribosomal RNA", at positions 1 to 197 of the family's 1533-position model. Lineage: Bacteria; Bacillati; Bacillota; Bacilli; Lactobacillales; Enterococcaceae. The record is from RNAcentral.